Molecule: ribosomal RNA, 450 nt
Filed under: uncultured bacterium
Lineage: Bacteria
Description: partial 16S ribosomal RNA
Rfam family: Bacterial small subunit ribosomal RNA
Source: RNAcentral
GUGGGGAAUAUUGGACAAUGGGCGCAAGCCUGAUCCAGCCAUGCCGCGUGUGUGAAGAAGGCCUUCGGGUUGUAAAGCACUUUUGUCCGGGAAGAAAUCUUCCAGGUUAAUACCCUGGGAGGCUGACGGUACCGGAAGAAUAAGCACCGGCUAACUUCGUGCCAGCAGCCGCGGUAAUACGAAGGGUGCAAGCGUUACUCGGAAUUACUGGGCGUAAAGCGUGCGUAGGUGGUUCGUUAAGUCUGCCGUGAAAGCCCCGGGCUCAACCUGGGAAUGGCGGUGGAUACUGGCGGGCUAGAGUGCGGUAGAGGGUGGUGGAAUUCCCGGUGUAGCAGUGAAAUGCGUAGAGAUCGGGAGGAACAUCUGUGGCGAAGGCGGCCACCUGGACCAGCACUGACACUGAGGCACGAAAACGCGGGGAGCAAACAGGAUUAGAUACCCGGGUAGUCC